This 444-nucleotide ribosomal RNA is filed under the name Bacillus sp. 240-3.1-LH-Heh(h)-07. RNAcentral's name for it is "bacterial SSU rRNA". It matches the Rfam family "Bacterial small subunit ribosomal RNA", at positions 28 to 456 of the family's 1533-position model. Lineage: Bacteria; Bacillati; Bacillota; Bacilli; Caryophanales; Bacillaceae. The record is from RNAcentral.
UGGUCAGGCGAACGCUGGCGGCGUGCCUAAUACAUGCAAGUCGAGCGGACUUGCUGGAGCUUGCUCCAGCAGGUUAGCGGCGGACGGGUGAGUAACACGUGGGCAACCUGCCUGUAAGACUGGGAUAACUCCGGGAAACCGGAGCUAAUACCGGAUAGUAUCUUGAACCGCAUGGUUCAAGAUGGAAAGACGGUUUCGGCUGUCACUUGCAGAUGGGCCCGCGGCGCAUUAGCUAGUUGGUGAGGUAAUGGCUCACCAAGGCAACGAUGCGUAGCCGACCUGAGAGGGUGAUCGGCCACACUGGGACUGAGACACGGCCCAGACUCCUACGGGAGGCAGCAGUAGGGAAUCUUCCGCAAUGGACGAAAGUCUGACGGAGCAACGCCGCGUGAGUGAUGAAGGUUUUCGGAUCGUAAAACUCUGUUGUUAGGGAAGAACAAGUGC